RNAcentral lists this unclassified non-coding RNA (167 nucleotides) under uncultured Umbelopsis. RNAcentral describes it as "sequence contains ITS1". Lineage: Eukaryota; Fungi; Mucoromycota; Umbelopsidomycetes; Umbelopsidales; Umbelopsidaceae. The record is from RNAcentral.
CCAAAAGAUAAUCUUUCUUCGAAAGAUCUUUUCCAUUGUGCUGGCUUUGACCGUUUGUACUUUUGGGACUUAAACAUGGCUUCUUGUAAGUCGGUCCCAAAAAUAUUAUACCAACCUUAUGAAAUUUGACUGAAGAUUGUAGUCUGAGUAAAAAUAUAAAUUAUUUA